CACCGUGGUCGUGGUUCCUGAUGAGGCUGUGCUGCGGCAGGCCGAUGCCGACGCCGGCGAGCGUGAACCCAACGCUGAACCCCACGCCGCACCCGGCGCCUACGUACCCAAUCACCUCAGGCCCGAAGCCGGGGCCCCAGCCGACGCCACAGCCGACGCCGAGCCCCACACCCCAGAAGGUGCCGGCCGUCGGGUGCACGGGGUUCCAGCGCUGGUACCGCCCGAGCACGCCCUUGAUGAUCAUCCUCAGCUUCACGGCAGUCUGGACAAAAGGAACAAUGCAAGCAGCAGCAAAAGCCUCAUCAAAGAUCCGACUUUUUUUUCCCCCGCGGAAAAGG
Molecule: unclassified non-coding RNA, 338 nt
Filed under: Zea mays
Lineage: Eukaryota; Viridiplantae; Streptophyta; Magnoliopsida; Poales; Poaceae
Description: misc RNA Zm00001eb299870
Source: RNAcentral